Molecule: long non-coding RNA, 308 nt
Organism: Phasianus colchicus (ring-necked pheasant)
Lineage: Eukaryota; Metazoa; Chordata; Aves; Galliformes; Phasianidae
Source: RefSeq, a predicted model, not a curated record
AUGUGUUGUGCAGCUCAGCUGAACCUAGGACUCACAGGGGAGUGUUCCAUCCAUCAGGACACGUGCCGUGGCAUCGUAUGUUUUGUGAACAUUUCAAGCAGUCAUCAAGGCCAUGCUGAAGGGAUAGAGAAUGGUUCUAACAUCUAACAUCUGGAGACCACAUUUUCAGUUUGGACAAGGCAUGGUUCCAUAAGGAUUGGGGAAAUGACAUAUGCUGCUCUUAGCAGUGACAGUGACUACAGAUUCACAUAUAAAAGCUGAGAUGAAACCCAGGAUCAUAAGGAGUUCAGACAGUAAGUCUACUUGCC